AUGCUAGUAAACUAUAUCAAUUAAAAUAUUUCAAUACCCACUUGUUUAUUGAAAGUUUAAGAAAUCCUGGGGUGCAGUGGCUGCACAUAGCGGCCUUGUAGGUAGUGUAUGCGGCCUGUUGCCUGUACAGGUUGUCCUAAAGGACCUUGGAGACAGCC
Molecule: small nucleolar RNA, 158 nt
Filed under: Catagonus wagneri (Chacoan peccary)
Lineage: Eukaryota; Metazoa; Chordata; Mammalia; Artiodactyla; Tayassuidae
Description: Small nucleolar RNA SNORA70 (ENSCWAG00000007071.1)
Rfam family: Small nucleolar RNA SNORA70
About the family: snoRNA U70 seems to be exclusive to mammals and is a member of the H/ACA class of snoRNA which contain H (ANANNA) and ACA box motifs. H/ACA box snoRNAs are involved in the conversion of uridines to pseudouridines (5-ribosyluracil) a constituent of structural RNAs (transfer, ribosomal, small nuclear, and small nucleolar).
Source: Rfam by way of RNAcentral